UGGGGAAUAUUGCACAAUGGGGGAAACCCUGAUGCAGCGACGCCGCGUGAGCGAAGAAGGUUUUCGAAUCGUAAAGCUCUGUCCUAUGAGAAGAUAAUGACGGUAUCAUAGGAGGAAGCCCCGACUAAAUACGUGCCAGCAGCCGCGGUAAUACGUAUGGGGCGAGCGUUGUCCGGAAUUAUUGGGCGUAAAGGGUACGUAGGCGGUCUAUUAAGUCAGGUGUGAAAGCGUGAGGCUUAACCUCAUUAAGCACUUGAAACUGAUAGACUUGAGUGAAGGAGAGGAAAGUGGAAUUCCUAGUGUAGCGGUGAAAUGCGUAGAUAUUAGGAGGAAUACCGGUGGCGAAGGCGACUUUCUGGACUUUUACUGACGCUCAGGUACGAAAGCGUGGGGAGCAAACAGG
Molecule: ribosomal RNA, 403 nt
Filed under: Verrucomicrobiota bacterium
Lineage: Bacteria; Pseudomonadati; Verrucomicrobiota
Description: Verrucomicrobia bacterium partial 16S ribosomal RNA
Rfam family: Bacterial small subunit ribosomal RNA
Source: RNAcentral